This 429-nucleotide ribosomal RNA is filed under the name bacterium. RNAcentral's name for it is "partial 16S ribosomal RNA". It matches the Rfam family "Bacterial small subunit ribosomal RNA", at positions 355 to 776 of the family's 1533-position model. The record is from RNAcentral.
UAGGGAAUCUUCCACAAUGGACGCAAGUCUGAUGGAGCAACGCCGCGUGAGUGAAGAAGGUUUUCGGAUCGUAAAGCUCUGUUGUUGGUGAAGAAGGAUAGAGGCAGUAACUGGUCUUUAUUUGACGGUAAUCAACCAGAAAGUCACGGCUAACUACGUGCCAGCAGCCGCGGUAAUACGUAGGUGGCAAGCGUUGUCCGGAUUUAUUGGGCGUAAAGCGAGCGCAGGCGGAAUGAUAAGUCUGAUGUGAAAGCCAACGGCUCAACCGUGGAACUGCAUCGGAAACUGUCAUUCUUGAGUGCAGAAGAGGAGAGUGGAAUUCCAUGUGUAGCGGUGGAAUGCGUAGAUAUAUGGAAGAACACCAGUGGCGAAGGCGGCUCUCUGGUCUGCAACUGACGCUGAGGCUCGAAAGCAUGGGUAGCGAACAGG